GGAAGAUAAGACACUUGAAGAAGCUGGGUAGAAGGAUUUAAACUGUGUCUAACCCCAGGUCCUUGGGUGUGUAAGGGGCAGUGACCCGAGGGGAGGAUUGCAUGGGAUCCUGCAGAUAGGACUUGGACAGAGAGAGAGGAGGAAGGACCCAUUAGACAUGCCAAGAGACAAGGGUGGGGAAGGUGGGGUGGCAUCGAUGCCUGGACUUCCCAGGAUAUCCCAGAUGUUCCUCCUCAGCAGACAGGCUUGCUGAAAGCCUGACAGAUAAACCCAUCUUUCCCCUCUUUUUCAUCUGCUUCUCCCUCCCUACUGUCUAAAAGAAAGUCGUGUCUCCCUUCCUGUGUCCCGGACACUAAUCGCUCUCCUUCCCUCUACAUCCAUGGCUUUCCACUUGACCAGAUAUAAGAAUCUUCCGCUUGUUAAAAUAGUUCGCGAGGCUCCAAGCCCGGAGUUUCUGCUUGUGUUUCUUUGGGUAGGGCCUAUAACUGCAUUUCUGACGUGUUUCCUGGAGACGCAGAUGAUCUGGGGAACAUGCUUUGAGAAGCUCUGAGUGAGGUCAUUGUCCCACCAAAGGUCCCCCCUCUCUUCUGUAUAGUCACUUAUCUCCUCUUCCUUGGCCGAACUGGCUCGCGGUGUACAGGCUUCCGGCUUCCCUCGAGGCGGCUUCCUCUCUGCACACGAUCCACCUUUCUUUUUUGUCUCCCACAUUCUCGUGGGGACAGCCCCUCACUGUUUUAGCACUUGUGACAUCACCUUACCCACAAUGACCACAGAGACUGCUUCUCCCCUGACGUCCCCCUCUGCACCUGCAGGCCGGCAGACGACCCUCGCCUUAGACUCCCUCCCUGGCUUGGCGUUCCUCAAAUGGAACACUUCACCCUGAGUCCUCUCUCCUGCUCCGCCCCGCCCACCACCACUUUCAGCACCCCUACUAGACCCCCUAACUGCCGCAGAACAGAUAUUUCCCAAGACUCUGCCUGGGCCAUCUUUUUUUUUAACAUUUCAACUCUCAGGCAGGUUCCUACCUCUUGAUUUUGAUCCCCAAAUCGCCCAGCGUGACAUUUUCCUGUCCCUAACCUGGACCUCUCAUCACACGGGAGGGGUUUUACAACCACAGGGGAACUGCUCUCAGUCUUCUCGCGAUCCACACACCAUCGUGUCUCCGGUAGGCCCCAGGUUUGCUUAUUCGGGCCUGGACCACCCCUUCCUCUCCCCUGGAAUCGCUGCAAUGGCCUCAGAAACAAUCAGAAUGUAAAGUUCUCAACUACUGCUCCAGCACCAUGCCUGUCUGCUUCCAGCCAUGAUGAUCACGGACUAACCUCUAAAAUUGGCACAGUUAAGAAAACUUCUGCAGUGACUAUCAACUGACUGAGAAAGAACUUAUAAACACGCUGGCUUCUUAUCACAAUGGGAUCCACACAAGAAAAAGAAAGGAGCGGUCAGUGCUGUGCCAUGAAAUGCUGACUCACCACUGGCAAGAUCUUUUCCUUCCCCAGCUUGCAAUUUUACCACCCAUCUAGUUAGCAUCAUGGCAGGGCCCAGA
This is a non-coding RNA of Peromyscus maniculatus bairdii (prairie deer mouse), 1543 nucleotides long. The record is from RefSeq and is a predicted model, not a curated record. Lineage: Eukaryota; Metazoa; Chordata; Mammalia; Rodentia; Cricetidae.